AGCAAGACCUACUAUAUCCAUGUGAAUUAUGCCCCCUAUCUCUAGGAAUAUGAAGGAAGAAACUCUUUCAUUAUUGUUAUUGAUUACUAAUAAUAAUGCAAUCCAUGGCACAGUCAAAAAAAAAAAAAGGAAUUCUGAACGAAGGCUAAUGAUAAACCAAUCCAAUAACCCCACCCAUAACAAGUUCAUAUAUGAUUAUUUAGAAACAUUAAGUACAAGCAAGAUACGCAGUUACUUUCUUGUAAUUCUCAAGAGAAUUCAAUUAAUGGAACUUGUCGGAAUAGUAAGACCUAUCAUUUCUUUUGUUGUUCUUCAU
Molecule: long non-coding RNA, 316 nt
Filed under: Aquilegia coerulea
Lineage: Eukaryota; Viridiplantae; Streptophyta; Magnoliopsida; Ranunculales; Ranunculaceae
Description: long non-coding RNA (ACOE_LNC000057)
Source: RNAcentral